RNAcentral lists this non-coding RNA (47 nucleotides) under Mytilus galloprovincialis (Mediterranean mussel). It matches the Rfam family "Histone 3' UTR stem-loop". Rfam says of the family: The mRNAs of metazoan histone genes lack a poly-A tail. 3' end processing occurs at a site between a highly conserved stem-loop (modelled by this family) and a purine rich region around 20 nts downstream (the histone downstream element, or HDE). Lineage: Eukaryota; Metazoa; Mollusca; Bivalvia; Mytilida; Mytilidae. The record is from RNAcentral.
ACAACGGUCCUUUUAAGGACCACACAAAUCUUUCAAAAAGAUAUUCG